GCCAUGCCACAGUGGGCCACAUGGGGAAGCACCAGGGCCAGGCGGGCGGCAGAGGGAGCAGAGAAGCCCUUACCGUGGUUUCCAGGAGAAGGAACAGAUGGCUGCCUUCUCGUAUCCUCGGAUCGGGGAGAGAGAAGCAAGCUCUCUCAUGUCUUCUUAUAUGGACACUAAUCCCAUCACGGGGGCUCCACUCUCAUGACCUAAUCACCUGCCUGAGGCCCCACUUCCUAAUCUCAUCACACAGGGAUGGAGCCUUCAACUUACAAAUUUUGGGGGGCACACAAACAUUCAGUCCUUGGAAGGCCUGUUGACUUCCUGUGUCUAAGCCUCGGUUUCCUCGUCUGUAACACGGCGGCAAUAUGAGCAUCCGCCUCACAGGACAGUAGUGAGGAUUAAAUGGGCUGAGCUCUGCAGCUUGCAGCUCAUGGCCCUCACUCAGGAACAGCUGGUGCCCUCUGAUGGCUAGCAUUAUACUUUUACCCCCGAUAUUUACCAGGGAGGAGGAAAAUCAAGCACAGUAAGUGCUUUAUCUAUGACCUUUCCCUCAACCUGAAGGUCAAACUCCAGGGCUUCUUGAAAAUAAGAAGAUGAUCAACAGAGAAUCAGCAGUGACAAAUACUUGUCAUGCCACAGAUUUAAAAAUCGAGGCUCAGAGAGUGACUUGCCA
RNAcentral lists this long non-coding RNA (667 nucleotides) under Equus caballus (horse). Its description in RNAcentral is "lncRNA (ENSECAG00000055860.1)". Lineage: Eukaryota; Metazoa; Chordata; Mammalia; Perissodactyla; Equidae. The record is from RNAcentral.